Small nuclear RNA from Pteronotus mesoamericanus, 105 nucleotides. NCBI's taxonomy places the organism in Eukaryota, Metazoa, Chordata, Mammalia, Chiroptera, Mormoopidae. The record is from RefSeq and is a predicted model, not a curated record.
GCUUGCUUUGGCAAUACAUAACAGUAAAACUGAAUCAAUACAGAGAAGAUUAGCAUGGCCUUGUGUGAGGAUGACUUGCAAUUUCAUGAAGCAUUCCACAUUUUU